GCGGAAGGGGGUGUCCCUGCUGCUCCUGUGCCCGCGGCUGACAGGCAGGGAACCAGGACGGAGACGGACCCUGGCCGCGUCCAGGGUUCAGGACUUCCAUCGAAUUGAGUCUUAUUACAGCUCAAGAUACAACCCCUAAAAAUCAUGGAUGAUAUUCGGAAAAGAUGAAAACUCUAACUCGAAAAGAUACAUGCACCCCAACGUUCAUAGCAACACUAUUUGCAAUAGCCAAGACAUGGAAGCAACCUAAAUGUCCAUCAACAGAUGAAUGGGUAAAGAAGAUGUGGUGUAUAAGAGACAUUGGAAUACUACUCAGUCAUAAAAAAGAAUGAAAUAAUGCCAUUUGCAGCAACAUGGAUGGAUCUCGAGAUUAUCAUUCUAAGUGAAGUAUCUUAUUUCCCAGACCAAGGAUCGAACCCAGGCCCCCACAGUGAAAGCAGCAAGUCCUAACCACUGGACCACCAGGGAAU
Long non-coding RNA from Lagenorhynchus albirostris (white-beaked dolphin), 470 nucleotides. RefSeq lists it as uncharacterized. Lineage: Eukaryota; Metazoa; Chordata; Mammalia; Artiodactyla; Delphinidae. The record is from RefSeq and is a predicted model, not a curated record. The transcript has 4 exons.